Non-coding RNA from Cinara cedri, 304 nucleotides. The record is from the annotation of a GenBank genome assembly. Lineage: Eukaryota; Metazoa; Arthropoda; Insecta; Hemiptera; Aphididae.
ACCCACGACUAAAAUAUAACUAGAUAUAAUGGCAUUACAACGUAUUUUGGUCGUGAACAAAAUUCCUGUAUUUAACCAAUGAAAAUAUCGAAUAUAUUCAUGGAAAGAAAACUCAGUUAACAGUGAUUUUUAUCGCUGGAUCUCAGUGCUAAUAGGACAUGUAACGGAUAAAUUCACUGUCAGUCGUAGCUAUGAAUUCUUUAACUUUUCGAAACAGGUUUUGAACCAAAUGAUAAAUUAAAAUUCAACAAUUUUUUAAACACCAUACGAUAAAAACAAUUUAAUCUUUUUUUAAUUAUUUAAU